RNAcentral lists this small nuclear RNA (252 nucleotides) under Urocitellus parryii (Arctic ground squirrel). Its description in RNAcentral is "7SK RNA (ENSUPAG00010006527.1)". It matches the Rfam family "7SK RNA". Rfam says of the family: 7SK was discovered as an abundant small nuclear RNA in the mid-70s but a possible function has only recently been suggested. Lineage: Eukaryota; Metazoa; Chordata; Mammalia; Rodentia; Sciuridae. The record is from Rfam by way of RNAcentral.
GGAUGUGAGGGUUCUCGGGCUGGGACAUCUGUCACCCCAUUGAUUGCCAGGGAUGAUGCGAUUGAUCUGGCUAUCGAGGCUGGUGUUCCCUUCCCCCCCUUACCAGUCCAUGUGCAUCCUUCCCAGAGCUGCGUGCUGUGUUCCUGGACAGAAGGCCUGCUCUCCAGUCAAGGUAACAGGAGUAACCCCCUCAAACCCUUGCCCCACAUUUACCCCUGACUCUGGAGUCUGGAAUUUUCAGACAAACUCAGA